Molecule: microRNA, 21 nt
Filed under: Medicago truncatula (barrel medic)
Lineage: Eukaryota; Viridiplantae; Streptophyta; Magnoliopsida; Fabales; Fabaceae
Description: mtr-miR395k
Gene: mtr-miR395k
Source: miRBase by way of RNAcentral
UUGAAGCGUUUGGGGGAACUC